Molecule: ribosomal RNA, 2900 nt
Filed under: Escherichia coli
Lineage: Bacteria; Pseudomonadati; Pseudomonadota; Gammaproteobacteria; Enterobacterales; Enterobacteriaceae
Description: bacterial LSU rRNA
Rfam family: Bacterial large subunit ribosomal RNA
Source: RNAcentral
UUAAGCGACUAAGCGUACACGGUGGAUGCCCUGGCAGUCAGAGGCGAUGAAGGACGUGCUAAUCUGCGAUAAGCGUCGGUAAGGUGAUAUGAACCGUUAUAACCGGCGAUUUCCGAAUGGGGAAACCCAGUGUGAUUCGUCACACUAUCAUUAACUGAAUCCAUAGGUUAAUGAGGCGAACCGGGGGAACUGAAACAUCUAAGUACCCCGAGGAAAAGAAAUCAACCGAGAUUCCCCCAGUAGCGGCGAGCGAACGGGGAGGAGCCCAGAGCCUGAAUCAGUGUGUGUGUUAGUGGAAGCGUCUGGAAAGGCGCGCGAUACAGGGUGACAGCCCCGUACACAAAAAUGCACAUGCUGUGAGCUCGAUGAGUAGGGCGGGACACGUGGUAUCCUGUCUGAAUAUGGGGGGACCAUCCUCCAAGGCUAAAUACUCCUGACUGACCGAUAGUGAACCAGUACCGUGAGGGAAAGGCGAAAAGAACCCCGGCGAGGGGAGUGAAAAAGAACCUGAAACCGUGUACGUACAAGCAGUGGGAGCCUCUUUAUGGGGUGACUGCGUACCUUUUGUAUAAUGGGUCAGCGACUUAUAUUCUGUAGCAAGGUUAACCGAAUAGGGGAGCCGAAGGGAAACCGAGUCUUAACUGGGCGUUAAGUUGCAGGGUAUAGACCCGAAACCCGGUGAUCUAGCCAUGGGCAGGUUGAAGGUUGGGUAACACUAACUGGAGGACCGAACCGACUAAUGUUGAAAAAUUAGCGGAUGACUUGUGGCUGGGGGUGAAAGGCCAAUCAAACCGGGAGAUAGCUGGUUCUCCCCGAAAGCUAUUUAGGUAGCGCCUCGUGAAUUCAUCUCCGGGGGUAGAGCACUGUUUCGGCAAGGGGGUCAUCCCGACUUACCAACCCGAUGCAAACUGCGAAUACCGGAGAAUGUUAUCACGGGAGACACACGGCGGGUGCUAACGUCCGUCGUGAAGAGGGAAACAACCCAGACCGCCAGCUAAGGUCCCAAAGUCAUGGUUAAGUGGGAAACGAUGUGGGAAGGCCCAGACAGCCAGGAUGUUGGCUUAGAAGCAGCCAUCAUUUAAAGAAAGCGUAAUAGCUCACUGGUCGAGUCGGCCUGCGCGGAAGAUGUAACGGGGCUAAACCAUGCACCGAAGCUGCGGCAGCGACACUAUGUGUUGUUGGGUAGGGGAGCGUUCUGUAAGCCUGUGAAGGUGUGCUGUGAGGCAUGCUGGAGGUAUCAGAAGUGCGAAUGCUGACAUAAGUAACGAUAAAGCGGGUGAAAAGCCCGCUCGCCGGAAGACCAAGGGUUCCUGUCCAACGUUAAUCGGGGCAGGGUGAGUCGACCCCUAAGGCGAGGCCGAAAGGCGUAGUCGAUGGGAAACAGGUUAAUAUUCCUGUACUUGGUGUUACUGCGAAGGGGGGACGGAGAAGGCUAUGUUGGCUGGGCGACGGUUGUCCCGGUUUAAGCGUGUAGGCUGGUUUUCCAGGCAAAUCCGGAAAAUCAAGGCUGAGGCGUGAUGACGAGGCACUACGGUGCUGAAGCAACAAAUGCCCUGCUUCCAGGAAAAGCCUCUAAGCAUCAGGUAACAUCAAAUCGUACCCCAAACCGACACAGGUGGUCAGGUAGAGAAUACCAAGGCGCUUGAGAGAACUCGGGUGAAGGAACUAGGCAAAAUGGUGCCGUAACUUCGGGAGAAGGCACGCUGAUAUGUAGGUGAAGUCCCUCGCGGAUGGAGCUGAAAUCAGUCGAAGAUACCAGCUGGCUGCAACUGUUUAUUAAAAACACAGCACUGUGCAAACACGAAAGUGGACGUAUACGGUGUGACGCCUGCCCGGUGCCGGAAGGUUAAUUGAUGGGGUCAGCGCAAGCGAAGCUCUUGAUCGAAGCCCCGGUAAACGGCGGCCGUAACUAUAACGGUCCUAAGGUAGCGAAAUUCCUUGUCGGGUAAGUUCCGACCUGCACGAAUGGCGUAAUGAUGGCCAGGCUGUCUCCACCCGAGACUCAGUGAAAUUGAACUCGCUGUGAAGAUGCAGUGUACCCGCGGCAAGACGGAAAGACCCCGUGAACCUUUACUAUAGCUUGACACUGAACAUUGAGCCUUGAUGUGUAGGAUAGGUGGGAGGCUUUGAAGUGUGGACGCCAGUCUGCAUGGAGCCGACCUUGAAAUACCACCCUUUAAUGUUUGAUGUUCUAACGUUGACCCGUAAUCCGGGUUGCGGACAGUGUCUGGUGGGUAGUUUGACUGGGGCGGUCUCCUCCUAAAGAGUAACGGAGGAGCACGAAGGUUGGCUAAUCCUGGUCGGACAUCAGGAGGUUAGUGCAAUGGCAUAAGCCAGCUUGACUGCGAGCGUGACGGCGCGAGCAGGUGCGAAAGCAGGUCAUAGUGAUCCGGUGGUUCUGAAUGGAAGGGCCAUCGCUCAACGGAUAAAAGGUACUCCGGGGAUAACAGGCUGAUACCGCCCAAGAGUUCAUAUCGACGGCGGUGUUUGGCACCUCGAUGUCGGCUCAUCACAUCCUGGGGCUGAAGUAGGUCCCAAGGGUAUGGCUGUUCGCCAUUUAAAGUGGUACGCGAGCUGGGUUUAGAACGUCGUGAGACAGUUCGGUCCCUAUCUGCCGUGGGCGCUGGAGAACUGAGGGGGGCUGCUCCUAGUACGAGAGGACCGGAGUGGACGCAUCACUGGUGUUCGGGUUGUCAUGCCAAUGGCACUGCCCGGUAGCUAAAUGCGGAAGAGAUAAGUGCUGAAAGCAUCUAAGCACGAAACUUGCCCCGAGAUGAGUUCUCCCUGACCCUUUAAGGGUCCUGAAGGAACGUUGAAGACGACGACGUUGAUAGGCUGGGUGUGUAAGCGCAGCGAUGCGUUGAGCUAACCGGUACUAAUGAACCGUGAGGCUUAACCUU